UACGUAGGCAGCAAACGUUGUUCGGAGUUACUGGGCGUAAAGCGUACGUAGGCGGUUUGCCAAGUUUGGUGUGAAAUCCCCGAGCUCAACUCGGGAACUGCGUCCGAUACUGGCGGGCUUGAAUCCGGGAGAGGGAUGCGGAAUUCCAGGUGUAGCGGUGAAAUGCGUAGAUAUCUGGAGGAACACCGGUGGCGAAGGCGGCAUCCUGGACCGGCAUUGACGCUGAGGCGCGAAAGCUAGGGGAGCAAACGGG
Molecule: ribosomal RNA, 253 nt
Filed under: uncultured bacterium
Lineage: Bacteria
Description: partial 16S ribosomal RNA
Rfam family: Bacterial small subunit ribosomal RNA
Source: RNAcentral